GAUGAAGAACGCAGCGAAAUGCGAUAAGUAAUGUGAAUUGCAGGAUUCAGUGAAUCAUCGAAUCUUUGAACGCACAUUGCGCCCGCCAGUAUUCUGGCGGGCAUGCCUGUUCGAGCGUCAUUACAACCCUCAGGCCCCCGGGCCUGGCGUUGGGGAUCGGCGGAAGCCCCCUGUGGGCACACGCCGUCCCUCAAAUACAGUGGCGGUCCCGCCGCAGCUUCCAUUGCGUAGUAGCUAACACCUCGCAACUGGAGAGCGGCGCGGCCAUGCCGUAAAACACCCAACUUCUGAAUGUUGACCUCGAAUCAGGUAGGAAUACCCGCUGAACUUAAGCAUAUCAAUAAGCGGAGGA
RNAcentral lists this unclassified non-coding RNA (352 nucleotides) under soil metagenome. RNAcentral's name for it is "partial contains 5.8S ribosomal RNA, internal transcribed spacer 2, and large subunit ribosomal RNA". The stretch from base 1 to 120 matches the Rfam family "5.8S ribosomal RNA", at positions 35 to 154 of the family's 154-position model. The record is from RNAcentral.